RNAcentral lists this ribosomal RNA (542 nucleotides) under Shigella sonnei. RNAcentral's name for it is "partial 23S ribosomal RNA". It matches the Rfam family "Bacterial large subunit ribosomal RNA", at positions 373 to 920 of the family's 2925-position model. Lineage: Bacteria; Pseudomonadati; Pseudomonadota; Gammaproteobacteria; Enterobacterales; Enterobacteriaceae. The record is from RNAcentral.
CCGUACACAAAAAUGCACAUAUUGUGAGCUUGAUGAGUAGGGCGGGACACGUGGUAUCCUGUCUGAAUAUGGGGGGACCAUCCUCCAAGGCUAAAUACUCCUGACUGACCGAUAGUGAACCAGUACCGUGAGGGAAAGGCGAAAAGAACCCCGGCGAGGGGAGUGAAAAAGAACCUGAAACCGUGUACGUACAAGCAGUGGGAGCACGCUUAGGCGUGUGACUGCGUACCUUUUGUAUAAUGGGUCAGCGACUUAUAUUCUGUAGCAAGGUUAACCGAAUAGGGGAGCCGAAGGGAAACCGAGUCUUAACUGGGCGUUAAGUUGCAGGGUAUAGACCCGAAACCCGGUGAUCUAGCCAUGGGCAGGUUGAAGGUUGGGUAACACUAACUGGAGGACCGAACCGACUAAUGUUGAAAAAUUAGCGGAUGACUUGUGGCUGGGGGUGAAAGGCCAAUCAAACCGGGAGAUAGCUGGUUCUCCCCGAAAGCUAUUUAGGUAGCGCCUCGUGAAUUCAUCUCCGGGGGUAGAGCACUGUUUCGGCA